RNAcentral lists this ribosomal RNA (274 nucleotides) under uncultured bacterium. RNAcentral describes it as "partial 16S ribosomal RNA". It matches the Rfam family "Bacterial small subunit ribosomal RNA", at positions 523 to 796 of the family's 1533-position model. The record is from RNAcentral.
AUACGGGGGGUGCAAGCGUUAUUCGGAUUUAUUGGGCGUAAAGGGCGCGUAGGCGGCUUGGAAAGUCAGAUGUGAAAGCCCGGGGCUCAACCCCGGAAGUGCAUUUGAAACUAUCAGGCUUGAGUAUGGGAGAGGGAAGUGGAAUUCCUGGUGUAGAGGUGAAAUUCGCAGAUAUCAGGAGGAACACCGGUGGCGAAGGCAGCUUUCUGGACCGAAACUGACGCUGAUGCGCGAAGGCGUGGGUAGCGAACAGGAUUAGAUACCCGAGUAGUCC